This 407-nucleotide ribosomal RNA is filed under the name uncultured bacterium. Its description in RNAcentral is "partial 16S ribosomal RNA". It matches the Rfam family "Bacterial small subunit ribosomal RNA", at positions 28 to 526 of the family's 1533-position model. The record is from RNAcentral.
GACGAACGCUGGCGGCGUGCCUAAUACAUGCAAGUAGGACGCAGUUGCGAACGGGUGCGUAACGCGUAGGUAACUGCCUAUUAGAGGGGGAUAACUAUUGGAAACGAUAGCUAAUACCGCAUACUAGUAGAUGGACCUGCGUUGUAUUAGCUAGUAGGUAGGGUAAUGGCCUACCUAGGCGAAGAUACAUAGCCGAACCGAGAGGGCGAUCGGCCACACUGGGACGUGGAAACGGCCCAGACCCCUACGGGUGGCAGCAGUAGGGAAUCUUCGGCAAUGGGGGGAACCCUGACCGAGCAACGCCGCGUGAGUGAAGAAGGUUUUCGGAUCGUAAAGCUCUGUUGUGAAGGAAGCGGUACUUAAACAGAAAGGGACGGCUAACUACGUGCCAGCAGCCGCGGUAAUUC